AAUAGAUACCCUGGUAGUCCACGCCGUAAACGAUGUCGACUUGGAGGUUGUUCCCUUGAGGAGUGGCUUCCGGAGCUAACGCGUUAAGUCGACCGCCUGGGGAGUACGGCCGCAAGGUUAAAACUCAAAUGAAUUGACGGGGGCCCGCACAAGCGGUGGAGCAUGUGGUUUAAUUCGAUGCAACGCGAAGAACCUUACCUGGUCUUGACAUCCACAGAAUUUUGCAAAGAUGCGAAAGUGCCUUCGGGAACUGUGAGACAGGUGCUGCAUGGCUGUCGUCAGCUCGUGUUGUGAAAUGUUGGGUUAAGUCCCGCAACGAGCGCAACCCUUAUCCUUUGUUGCCAGCGGUUAGGCCGGGAACUCAAAGGAGACUGCCAGUGAUAAACUGGAGGAAGGUGGGGAUGACGUCAAGUCAUCAUGGCCCUUACGACCAGGGCUACACACGUGCUACAAUGGCAUAUACAAAGAGAAGCGACCUCGCGAGAGCAAGCGGACCUCAUAAAGUAUGUCGUAGUCCGGA
Molecule: ribosomal RNA, 520 nt
Filed under: uncultured bacterium
Lineage: Bacteria
Description: bacterial SSU rRNA
Rfam family: Bacterial small subunit ribosomal RNA
Source: RNAcentral